Molecule: unclassified non-coding RNA, 175 nt
Filed under: uncultured fungus
Lineage: Eukaryota; Fungi
Description: sequence contains ITS1
Source: RNAcentral
UUAACUUUUAAAUUUUAUACAAAAUCAGACAAAUAUCAUUAUGAAUAAGAGUUUAGUUUGUUUUGUUCUAUAGAAUACACAAUUCCAUCUUCUCAAAAACAGGUAAAAUACACAGAAGGGGUUUAAUAGGGUCAAUUUACAUUUAAUGAUCCUUCCGCAGGUUCACCUACGGAAA